This 483-nucleotide ribosomal RNA is filed under the name uncultured bacterium. RNAcentral describes it as "bacterial SSU rRNA". It matches the Rfam family "Bacterial small subunit ribosomal RNA", at positions 442 to 916 of the family's 1533-position model. The record is from RNAcentral.
GGAAAGAGUGGUCGACGGUUAAUACCCUGGUCCUUUGACGGUACCAUCGAAGGAAGCACCGGCUAACUCCGUGCCAGCAGCCGCGGUAAUACGGAGGGUGCAAGCGUUGUUCGGAAUUACUGGGCGUAAAGCGGGCGUAGGCGGCUUUUUAAGUCAGAUGUGAAAGUCCACGGCUCAACCGUGGAAGUGCAUUUGAAACUGGGAAGCUUGAGUACUGGAGGGGAUGGUGGAAUUCCCGGUGUAGAGGUGAAAUUCGUAGAUAUCGGGAGGAAUACCGGUGGCGAAGGCGACCAUCUGGCCGGAUACUGACGCUGAGGUGCGAAAGCGUGGGGAGCAAACUGGAUUAGAUACCCUGGUAGUCCACGCCGUAAACGAUGUCAACUAGGUGUUGGAGUGGUUAAUCGCUUCAUUGCCGGAGCUAACGCAUUAAGUUGACCGCCUGGGGAGUACGGGCGCAAGAUUAAAACUCAAAGGGAUUGACGG